AGUUUAGGAAGAAAACUCAAAAAGAGACUUGUCCCACAUUCAUUCUCUCUCACCCCCAGGCAAGGAAUUUGAAACGGACCCAGGAGUCCUGGCUUGAGGCCACGGCUCCAAGAUGAGUUCCCCAUCUAUAAAAUUGGGACACACUGGAGAGGAAAUCGUAAGAAUACUCCUUGCUCUCAAGAAAUUCACAGUCUAAUAGGAGAAACAGAUACCCUAUGAAGAAAAGUAUUCACAGUAGCACAUCUCCUAUCAGGGGAAAAAAGUGGAAACAAAGUGCAUUCCCAUUGAAUGGCUGAAAAGAAACAUGGGAAGGCUUGUAUGUGCUCAUAUACAACAAAGUAAACAGAACCAGCAGGACAAUAUGUACAAUGAUUAUGAUAAGGAAAGACCAAGACAUUUGGUGACCUUGUGAGAUUAUUGAAAGUGUACUCAGUGAGACCAUCAGUGGUAUGGCAGAGAUUUAAAUUUCACAAAUGGAAUGAACAGCCUGCUCGGGGCAUUGCUAUUUAUAUUGCAGCACGGCAUCAUUUUUCUCAACACUGCAAUCUGGGAAAAUUCUUAGACAACAACCUAGGGGAUCAUAUUUACAAAAUGCAUGAUGAAGCCCUCUAUGGAACUUCUUAGUUAAAUUAUAUUUAUAAUUUCUUAUAAUCAAAGAAAAGGCUCCAUUACUAUCUUCCACUUAAGCUAAAAGGACAGCUGCUAAUGUAAGUGCUAUUCAUACCAUGAAGACAGAUAUUUCUCACCAAGAGAAUGAUAAGAAUACAAGUAAUAGAUGUUCUGCAAUAUCCACAGAUCAACUUUUGGCAGGCUAGGCUGAUAUUCUAAUCAUAGGCUCUAAGAAGUGGAAUACAAAUGCUAUAAAUUGAAGGACACCUUGAAAAGGUAUGCCGUUCAGAAUUCACAGGAGUAAAGCCCAGAAACUGUCAUAGCAAUUCAAAUCACUUGGAAUCAAAUGAUCUUGACUAUUUAUAUAAUCAGUUAAUUUCAGAAUUCUAUCAUAUUCACUGGGUCAAUUGUAAUAUACUCUAUAAUCAGUCAUGAGCACAAAAUGGAAGUUGACUCUGGUUGUGGUACAUUAAUAAUCAGUAAAGAUAUCUUCCGUAAUAUUUCCUCACAAGUUUCAUUGUAAAAGUUAUUGAGACCAUCAUUCAUCCUUUUAAAAAACACAUUGUUUUUUUUUUCUUGUGUUUAUAUCACUCACAUUUCCCAUUAUGUACCUUUUCAGAGAGUCACCCCUUAUAACAAAAAAAAAAGAAAAAAGUUUAGUAAAACUAAUAUAUCAAAAAAAAUCUAUACUUAUGCUUCCCCACUUUUGCCAAGAAUCUGAAGGAACUAUUUUCUCCUAUAAUCUCUUCAGGGCCAAAUUUGAUUAUUAUAAUUUCCAUUCAUUCCUUAAAAUGGUUUUUUUUUUGAUGCUUUUGUUUUUUUAUGCCACAAUUGUUUCCCAAUGUAACAUAUCUAACUCAAUUAGAAGCUUGCCCUGGAACAAAGAAAAAUAUUUUUAUGAAACUAACCAAUACAGCAAUCAUAAAAGAUAGUAUGUACUUAAUAUUUUGUGCCCAACGACCUUUUUUCUAAUUAAUGAAAUGUUUCAGCAUCUCUUCUCUGGGACCAUGAUUGUUCCUUCCAUUUCAUUUGAGAUCAGUUGUGUUUUAGUGCUGUUUCCCUUUACCUUAUUAUAGUCAUUAUGAAUAUUGUUCCAAUUCUGUUUACUUUAUUCUCUCUUCCCAUGUUUCUCUGAAUUCCUCAUUUUUAUUGUUCUCUAUGGUCAACAAUAUUCCAUUACAUUCAUAAACCACAAUCUGUUCAGUCAUUUUCUUCUAAUCGAUGGGUACCCAUUUUGCUUCUAGUCUUUCACUACCACAAA
This is a long non-coding RNA of Antechinus flavipes (yellow-footed antechinus), 1870 nucleotides long. RefSeq lists it as uncharacterized. NCBI's taxonomy places the organism in Eukaryota, Metazoa, Chordata, Mammalia, Dasyuromorphia, Dasyuridae. The record is from RefSeq and is a predicted model, not a curated record. The transcript has 3 exons.